This is a long non-coding RNA of Biomphalaria glabrata, 1000 nucleotides long. RefSeq lists it as uncharacterized. The transcript has 3 exons. NCBI's taxonomy places the organism in Eukaryota, Metazoa, Mollusca, Gastropoda, Planorbidae. The record is from RefSeq and is a predicted model, not a curated record.
AUAGUGAUUAGUAGCUUCACGGUAUAUGGAUAAGGUUAUAAGUGCUCCAAUGAGCAUAUUGUUAUAAGAUACAGCGGGUCUGUCCAAAGGGUGGUAAUAUUAGUUGUAGUUUUACCUGCAGUUCUUUAUUUGACUUUAAAAAAUAUUUAGUAUUUAUUCUAAGAACUAUAUUUAUUUAUAACCUGCAAUGCGAGACAAAAUGUAGAAUAAAAAUCAUUUUACAUAUUUUAAAAUCUAAAUAAAGGGAUUUUUAAAUUUAUUUGUGUGUGUGACUAUGGUGUCUAGAACUUAGACAGUUGUCUCCCUUUCAGCCAUCCACUCAGCAAUGCUAUUCUACAGCCUCAUUGUUUUAUGUAUUGUUACAAUCAAUCAAGUUUCCUCAGAUGAAUAUAGGAAAGUUCUUCCCCAGUACCGGAAGUCUUUCUCAAUCUAUGGCAAGAGCAACAUUCGUGCGCUUUACAAGGCGCUAGAGCCAGCCAUCAUAUCGUUCUUUAAAAUAAAACACCUGACGAAGGAUUACUUCCUGUAUUCCAUUCGACAGAGAGAUCCCUGGACCCAGUCCGUGCUGAAGGGUCGUUUUUAUCGCAUGGACCCGAACAAGGACGGAGUGAUGAACGAGAAAGAUUUGAACGGGUACUUUCGAUUCGUUAUGCUGUCGGACAUGCUUGUAGGGGGCGCUGACGCCAAUAACGACUACACCGUUACCAAAAAGGAAUUCCAGCAGCAUGUGGCCAGGUUGAACCCAAGCCAGGAUAAGACGUUACAAGUCUCGUUCGACAUAAUGUUUAAAGACUUGGACUCAAACCAAGAUCAGCUCUUCAACACAAAUGACUUUUUGGCUUGCAAAUAAGGUUUGUUAAGAAGAUAUACCUCACUUGGUAACCAAGACUUGGGACAAGUUGUAUUAUAUAAGACACGUUUAUUUUUAUAUGAUUUUGCUGGGAAAAUAUUUUGCAUGGCCAGUUAAUUCCCUUAUACAAAUUACGAAAAUAUUAUUUAU